UCUGAAAAGAUGAGAAUAAAAGACGAAAGUUAGUGGGAACACUCACACGAGUGUACAAACACAUUUUUAAACAUAAUCAUUACGCUGAUCCUAAGUUUUCGGACAUCAUGAUUCAGGCAAAGUCAGUAUGUAGGCAGUUCUCAUCAUUGUGUUUUAAGGUUUCAGAUCCUUAAUUUUCUGUCAUCAUUUUCUUUUUGAAUGAAAUCCCACUGGACAUUCACUGUGUCCGGUCAUGACUCUGGUGCGUACGUGCGAUUUUGAUGUGAGAUGCAGGAGAGAGAGAGAGAGAGAGAGAGAGGUAAGGAGAUCCAUUGACAUUUUUGGCUUGGUCUUGAAUGUACACGGGAUGAUCUUCACUCCAGCUCUUCAUAGAUUCUUGAACAUAUUUCUGCAUGUCACAGGUAAUCUGCGCUUUCAGAUGCGACGACUUGCAGAAAGCUCCAAUCAGCCCAUGUAUUCUCCUCUGCAAGUUUCCACUGAUGAGUAACACAGAGGACUUCCCCAUCAGCUCAGUCAGAGAUCUUGGAUAAGAGGGUCUCAGGGCGGUCAGAGUAAGCGCAAGAGAUGAAGUCGAGGGUUUCUCCGAGAAAAGGCCAUCCAAGAGUGCCUAAAGGGAGUCGAGGAGUGGUGUAGCUUGACAGGAGUUUGCAACAUAUGAGUUUCCUGUAGAAAAUAAUGGCGGACAGGAGGAUUGCUGUGGCCAACAAAUUGCCCGUACAAUUGUCCAUUUUGGAACUUUUUUUCCGCUAGCUACGUACUUAAGCAGGAAAUCAAUGGUAAAUCACUAGUGUUUUCCCCUAAUCAUGGUGAUGUAGUAGUACUUUUGUAGAGGAAAUGGGCCGACGUUCGAGUGAGAAAGAGAUUAAGUUGGGUAACCCCUCUUUUAAUGGAUGUAGAUGGGUGCGGCAGGAAAAAAAAAAAAGAAAAGAGAAAAGAAAGGAACGUGAUAUACACUGUAUGUGUGUGCUUGAGGGAUAAUUUGACGAGUCAGCACAUGUUGCCUCGAGGGUUCGUGCGCGGCUGGACCAGUGUUUUUGGCCGGUUUUCCUUGGGGAUAGGGGCCCGACCAAAUUAUUGACCGCAACUUUGGUCCAAAAUCCAAAUAAUAUGGAGCAUGGUGGAUUUUCAGGGUCU
Molecule: non-coding RNA, 1134 nt
Organism: Coffea arabica (coffee)
Lineage: Eukaryota; Viridiplantae; Streptophyta; Magnoliopsida; Gentianales; Rubiaceae
Source: RefSeq, a predicted model, not a curated record